RNAcentral lists this ribosomal RNA (450 nucleotides) under uncultured Stenotrophomonas sp. RNAcentral's name for it is "bacterial SSU rRNA". It matches the Rfam family "Bacterial small subunit ribosomal RNA", at positions 354 to 796 of the family's 1533-position model. The record is from RNAcentral. Lineage: Bacteria; Pseudomonadati; Pseudomonadota; Gammaproteobacteria; Lysobacterales; Lysobacteraceae.
GUGGGGAAUAUUGGACAAUGGGCGCAAGCCUGAUCCAGCCAUACCGCGUGGGUGAAGAAGGCCUUCGGGUUGUAAAGCCCUUUUGUUGGGAAAGAAAAGCAGCCGGUUAAUACCCGGUUGUUCUGACGGUACCCAAAGAAUAAGCACCGGCUAACUUCGUGCCAGCAGCCGCGGUAAUACGAAGGGUGCAAGCGUUACUCGGAAUUACUGGGCGUAAAGCGUGCGUAGGUGGUUGUUUAAGUCUGUCGUGAAAGCCCUGGGCUCAACCUGGGAAUUGCGAUGGAAACUGGGCGACUAGAGUGUGGCAGAGGAUAGUGGAAUUCCUGGUGUAGCAGUGAAAUGCGUAGAGAUCAGGAGGAACAUCCGUGGCGAAGGCGACUGUCUGGGCCAACACUGACACUGAGGCACGAAAGCGUGGGGAGCAAACAGGAUUAGAAACCCGGGUAGUCC